This 494-nucleotide ribosomal RNA is filed under the name uncultured bacterium. Its description in RNAcentral is "partial 16S ribosomal RNA". It matches the Rfam family "Bacterial small subunit ribosomal RNA", at positions 28 to 507 of the family's 1533-position model. The record is from RNAcentral.
GACGAACGCUGGCGGCGUGCUUAACACAUGCCAGUCGAACGGAAAGGCCUGUCCUUCCUUGUGUUGGACGGGUACUCGAGUGGCGAACGGGUGAGUAACACGUGAGUGAUCUGCCCCCAACUUGGGUAUAAGUCUGGGAAACUGGGUCUAAUUCCCGAUAGGACUGCAGGGUGGUGCCUGUGGUGGAAAACGAUUUUCUAGUGGUUGGGGAUGAGCUCGCGGCCUAUCAGCUUGUUGGUGGGGUAAUGGCCUACCAAGGCGGCGACGGGUAGCCGGCCUGAGAGGGUGGACGGCCACAUUGGGACUGAGAUACGGCCCAGACUCCUACGGGAGGCAGCAGUGGGGAAUAUUGCACAAUGGGCGGAAGCCUGAUGCAGCGACGCCGCGUGGGGGAUGACGGCCUUCGGGUUGUAAACUCCUUUCGACCGCGAGGAAGCCGCCUGGUUGGAAGGGUGGUGACGGUAGUGGUAGAAGAAGCACCGGCUAACUACGUG